GUCGUCGUGCUCGUCGUCGUGGUGCUCGUCGUCGUGGUGCUCGUCGUCGUGGUGCUCGUCGUCGUGGUGCUCGUCGUCGUGGUGCUCGUCGUCGUCGGGCUUGUCGUCGUCGGGCUUGAGCUCGGGCUUGUCGUCGGCGGGCUUGAGCUCGGGCUUGUCGUCGUCGUGGCCGCCGCCGCCGCAGAGCUCUUCAAAUCCGGGGGCGAUGCGUCCGUCCGGACCGUGCUUCCAGAAGCACGGAUCCUCGUCGAUCAUGGAGCCCAUAGGGUGAUCCAUCAUGGAGCCCAUAGGGUGAUCCAUCAUGGAGCCCAUAGGGUGAUCCAUCAUGGAGCCCAUAGGGUGAUCCAUCAUGGAGCCCAUAGGCAUAUCCAUCAUGGAGCCAAUAGGGUGAUCCAUCAUGGAGCCCAUAGGCAUAUCCAUCAUGGAGCCAAUAGGGUGAUCCAUCAUGGAGCCAAUAGGGUGAUCCAUCAUGGAGCCAAUAGGGUGAUCCAUCAUGGAGCCCAUCAAGUCGUGGUGCUCCUCGCCGGGCGCCGUCGCGUUCACCGUGGAGACGGCCGCGGGAACCUCGGGGGCGGGAACCUCGGGGGGCGCUGUACCAUUAGGGGCCGCAGGACCCGCGGGGCCCGCGGGACCCCCGCUGAACUCGCCCUCGAACGACGACGCGUCGUUCACCUUUUCGGCUUCGUCCGCCGUCGGGCAAUCCUCCCCGCCGACUUUGCUCCAGCACUUGCCCUCGUCCCACUCGCAACCCAGCACGGCGGCGCAGCUCGCCUCCGUGUUGAGCUCGUCGUGGCCCUCGCAGACGGUCUCGCACCCCAUCGUGCCGGGGUACUCGUGCGACCCGGGGCCGCCGCCCUCCUCGAAGCCGUAGUCGGUUCGAUGCGGGACGUCCGCGGCGGGGAGGACGUGCGUCCACGUGUGCCCCGCGGCUGCCGCGUCCUUGCGGAACUUGAGGCACGCGGUCUGGCCGAUCUCGCCCGGCCAGUUCUCGCACGGCGUCGCGGACAUCAAAAAGUCGCGCGCUU
This 1025-nucleotide long non-coding RNA is filed under the name Micromonas pusilla. RNAcentral describes it as "long non-coding RNA (MPUS_LNC000138)". The record is from RNAcentral. Lineage: Eukaryota; Viridiplantae; Chlorophyta; Mamiellophyceae; Mamiellales; Mamiellaceae.